UGGCUCAGUCGGUUGAGCAUCUGACUUCAGCUCAGAUCAUGAUCUCGUGGUUUGUGAGUUCGAACCCCAC
RNAcentral lists this transfer RNA (70 nucleotides) under Felis catus (domestic cat). It matches the Rfam family "tRNA", at positions 8 to 63 of the family's 71-position model. Rfam says of the family: Transfer RNA (tRNA) molecules are approximately 80 nucleotides in length. Their secondary structure includes four short double-helical elements and three loops (D, anti-codon, and T loops). Further hydrogen bonds mediate the characteristic L-shaped molecular structure. tRNAs have two regions of fundamental functional importance: the anti-codon, which is responsible for specific mRNA codon recognition, and the 3' end, to which the tRNAs corresponding amino acid is attached (by aminoacyl-tRNA synthetases). tRNAs cope with the degeneracy of the genetic code in two manners: having more than one tRNA (with a specific anti-codon) for a particular amino acid; and 'wobble' base-pairing, i.e. permitting non-standard base-pairing at the 3rd anti-codon position. RNAcentral also lists the same sequence under 2 other names. Lineage: Eukaryota; Metazoa; Chordata; Mammalia; Carnivora; Felidae. The record is from Rfam by way of RNAcentral.